Molecule: ribosomal RNA, 216 nt
Filed under: Glomeromycotina sp.
Lineage: Eukaryota; Fungi; Glomeromycota
Description: partial small subunit ribosomal RNA
Rfam family: Eukaryotic small subunit ribosomal RNA (bases 40-216)
Source: RNAcentral
GGGUCAUUAGGUUGGUCGUGCCACCGGUACGUACUGGUCUCACUGAUUCCUCCUUCCUGAAGAACCGUAAUGCCAUUAAUUUGGUGUUGCGGGGAAACAGGACUGCUACUUUGAAAAAAUUAGAGUGUUUAAAGCAAGCUAACGCUUGAAUACAUUAGCAUGGAAUAAUGAAAUAGGACGAUCGAUCCUAUUUUGUUGGUUUCUAGGAUUGACGUA